AAUGGGAUGGUUCGAGGCUGCACAGCUGAGGACUUCUGCACUGAGGCUGGAAAGCAGAGGUCUCAGGGACACAGUCUGAGCUGGGACUCUGUUUCCCAGACCACAAACAAAGGAUGGAUUCUCUCCCCAGCAAAAGAGGCCGGUGGAAAGUGAAGAUCAAGGACUCAUUAUCAGCAUUGAAAUACGCCACCUGCCCCUGGUCGUAGUCCAGAUAAAUCCAGAUCCUCAUGGGGACCCAGCUCAGGGGCAGAGGAGUUAGGGGGUCAGUGAGAGGCCAAUACUGACCCUUCCAGUAUUCCACAGCCCAGACACCCCCCUCAGGGUUAAAGCUGAUCUGUCCCUUCCUCCCCACAGACUCUCUGGCCAUCCCUACGGCCCAGCCCCCUUGUCCCCCCACCUCCACCUCCCCCACAACGUCUCCCCAAGGUGAAUCAUUGCCCAGCACGCAGCGCUCGUAAUCAAAUCUCUUGGUCAUGUUGGGCAUUUGUUCCAUAAGCAUCCAUAUCUCACGGCUUUCCCAUCCUCAGACAGGACAAGUUGGGGAUGAGCAGUGUCUGGAUCCAGAGUCAUGUGCAUUGGGGGGGAGGGAAUCCAAGCAUUAAGGGCAGAGCUCAGCCCUGGGGAAGCUGGGACCAUUUCUUACACUCCCCGGAGCAGCCCUGUCCCAGCUGGGAUGCUCCUGGAUCCCAGGAGCUGCCUCUGUCCUGGGCACCUGAGACUGAGCAGGAGGUCACUGCAGUUCCUCAGUCAAUGUAAGGGGAACAACUUCUAUAGCUUCUCAUUUGCUUGCUCCCCCUGCCAGGACCACUCCAUUCCCAGUGCAGAGACACAGCAAGCAAGGAAGGAGAAGCUGUUAGCGAGGAUGUAGGGAGAGCCAUCAGGCGACGGCUUUGAACCCCAAAGGGAAGCGCCUUCCCCUAAUGUGUCCCCCACUGGGCCGGGAACAGAUGAAGAAGCCAGACAGCACCAGUGAAUAGGAAGCGGGAGGUGGCACAGGCUGAGGUAGCUCCAUUCCCAGCCCAGAGAGAAGGGGACAGCAUCAGAGGGACAGCAUCCUCCCCCAUCCAUUAAGUAUUGAACUGCUCCAAUGGGAGAGCCCAGCCCGGGCCACAGGAAAGGAAGGAUGUUGGAAGAGACUGGGAAGGAUGUGGCAGCCAUGAGAGGACAGAUCUCACUACUUAUUCCUCUGCCUUUAAUAUGAAGCGCAUGUCAAUGACCAAUCAAAUGACGGUCAGAGUUAAGGGGUUGGGUGCUGGGCUUGGAGCAUUUGUCUGGUUACUGGUGUGUGGGAGAGUUGCUUCCAGGGAUUCUCUGAAAUCAUAAAAUCUCCACCAGAUCUUACCGUUGGCAUGUGAUCCCAAAUAUUUUCCCCCCUUCCCGCUCCAGUUCAGAUGGCAAAGUCUCUGAGGGGGAAAGGAUUAGAGUUUUGCUGCCUGAUUUAUAAUGUGGCCUCUGGCAACUGCCUCUCUGGCUUGGGCAUCUGAGACUGAGCAUGGAUGCCCUGGCAGUUCCCCCACAUGGUGAAUGGAGGUGGCGGGGCUGUGGCUGCUGUACCUCCUUCCCAGCUGCAUCCUGGUCUCUCCACACAUUCCUCUGACUUUCAAAUUAAAAAAAUCAUUUGAAUGUCUAUGGAACCCCCACAGGACACAGUUAGGGUAUUUUUUUCCUGCUCAAAGACAGUGCUUCUGUUCACAGGCAGUGCCUGCACUCAGCAUUAAGAUUUAUGUCCAGAUUGUUUGAGUGAGUUCAGCUGGGGCUCUCCUUAGACCUGACCAUUUACA
Molecule: long non-coding RNA, 1781 nt
Organism: Dermochelys coriacea (leatherback sea turtle)
Lineage: Eukaryota; Metazoa; Chordata; Testudines; Dermochelyidae
Exons: 2
Source: RefSeq, a predicted model, not a curated record